Molecule: ribosomal RNA, 1006 nt
Filed under: human gut metagenome
Description: bacterial LSU rRNA
Rfam family: Bacterial large subunit ribosomal RNA
Source: RNAcentral
AAACGGCGGCCGUAACUAUAACGGUCCUAAGGUAGCGAAAUUCCUUGUCGGGCAAGUUCCGACCUGCACGAAUGGCAUAAUAAUGGCCACACUGUCUCCUCCCGAGACUCAGUGAAAUUGAAAUGUUUGUGAUGAUGCAAUCUCCCCGCGGCUAGACGGAAAGACCCCAUGAACCUUAACUGUAGCUUUGCAUUGGACUUUGAACCGAUCUGUGUAGGAUAGGCGGGAGGCUUUGAAGAAUGGACGCCAGUUCAUUCGGAGCCGUCGUUGAAAUACCGCCCUGAUUUGUUUGAGGUUCUAACCUGGGCCAGUAAUCCUGGCUGGGGACCGUGCAUGGUGGGCAGUUUGACUGGGGCGGUCUCCUCCUAAAGGGUAACGGAGGAGUGCGAAGGUACGCUAAUCACGGUCGGAAAUCGUGAGGAUACUGCAAUGGGAAAAGCGUGCCUGACUGCGAGACAGACAAGUCGAGCAGAUGCGAAAGCAGGUCAUAGUGAUCCGGUGGCUUCUGUAUGGAAGGGCCAUCGCUCAACGGAUAAAAGGUACUCUGGGGAUAACAGGCUGAUACCGCCCAAGAGUUCAUAUCGACGGCGGUGUUUGGCACCUCGAUGUCGGCUCAUCUCAUCCUGGGGCUGUAGUCGGUCCCAAGGGUAUGGCUGUUCGCCAUUUAAAGAGGUACGUGAGCUGGGUUUAAAACGUCGUGAGACAGUUUGGUCCCUAUCUGCCGUGGGCGUUGGAAGAUUGACGGGGGCUGCUCCUAGUACGAGAGGACCGGAGUGGACGCACCUCUGGUGUACCGGUUGUCACGCCAGUGGCAUUGCCGGGUAGCUAAGUGCGGAAGAGAUAACCGCUGAAAGCAUCUAAGCGGGAAACUUGCCUGAAGAUGAGUCUUCCCGGAGGUUGAACCUCCCUCAAGAGUCGUCCGAGACCAGGACGUCGAUAGGUCAGGUGUGUAAGCGCUGUAAGGCGUUGAGCUAACUGAUACUAAUUGCUCGUGAGGCUUGAUCCU